CAUUGCUCUAUCAGCAGCGCCCCAUGUGAGAUCAUUCUGGGGAUGGACUAAAUCAUCCAUUGGUUGGCUAACCAUCCACUCACUAGUCCAGUCUAACUCAUCAAGCAAUAGGGAAUCAUAAUUUCUAUUCUCCUCACGCCUUUGUCGAAACCUUUCUUGAAGGCGGCGAUUGUAUUGAACAUAGACUAGAUCAUUCAAACGUUCAUGUUCUAGUCUAUUCCUCUUCUUGGUAUGAAUCCAGCUCCUUAC
Telopea speciosissima is the source of this 249-nucleotide long non-coding RNA. RefSeq lists it as uncharacterized. The record is from RefSeq and is a predicted model, not a curated record. The transcript is spliced from 3 exons. Lineage: Eukaryota; Viridiplantae; Streptophyta; Magnoliopsida; Proteales; Proteaceae.